AAUUUUUAAGAGAGAGAGAGAGACUUUUCUCUCUAGUUUAAGGGGUUCUUUGAACCUCGGUCUCUCGUUCUAUGGUUAUGAGGAGUCUGGGUUUCUUCCUUCCCGCCUUUGGGCGGGGCUGUACAUAGUCCUUUUGAAGUUUUUUUUGUGUCGCAGGUGUCGAGCUUCAUGGAGAAAGAGAACUUUGAGCCUGUGGUGGAUGGUGGUAACUAAAGAGUCUAUAAACCGGCAUAACCCACUAAUGGUUGACCCUUCAAGCUAUAGGAAACAGAUGCCGUGAGCUCGCUCCAUCACCCUCUGCUUGGUUAUAUAUAUAUAUAUAAACAAAUUUUAGAAACAUGCAUUAUAAAUAUUUGUGAAAAAUCUUAUUUAUCAUAUUCACCUUUAAUUGGCUG
RNAcentral lists this unclassified non-coding RNA (395 nucleotides) under Hevea brasiliensis (rubber tree). Lineage: Eukaryota; Viridiplantae; Streptophyta; Magnoliopsida; Malpighiales; Euphorbiaceae. The record is from RNAcentral.